Molecule: ribosomal RNA, 253 nt
Filed under: uncultured bacterium
Lineage: Bacteria
Description: partial 16S ribosomal RNA
Rfam family: Bacterial small subunit ribosomal RNA
Source: RNAcentral
GACGAAGGAUGCAAGCGUUAUCCGGAUUCAUUGGGUUUAAAGGGCGCGUAGGUGGCCUUAUAAGUCAGUGGUGAAAUCCUGUUGCUUAACAACAGAAUUGCCAUUGAUACUGUAGGGCUUGAGUACAGAUGCCGUUGGCGGAAUAUGACAUGUAGUGGUGAAAUACAUAGAGAUGUCAUAGAACACCGAUUGCGAAGGCAGCUGACGAAACUGUAACUGACACUGAGGCUCGAAAGUGCGGGGAUCAAACAGG